This is an unclassified non-coding RNA of Erinaceus europaeus (western European hedgehog), 305 nucleotides long. Its record names the gene 7SK. It matches the Rfam family "7SK RNA". From Rfam's summary of the family: 7SK was discovered as an abundant small nuclear RNA in the mid-70s but a possible function has only recently been suggested. Two independent studies have found that 7SK RNA binds the CDK9/cyclin T complex (known as elongation factor P-TEFb). The record is from Ensembl. NCBI's taxonomy places the organism in Eukaryota, Metazoa, Chordata, Mammalia, Eulipotyphla, Erinaceidae.
GGAUGUGAGGGCGAUCUGGCUGUGACAUCUGUCACGCCAUCAAUCACCAGGGUUGAUUGGGCUGAUCUGGCCGGUUAGGCGAGUGUCUCCUCCCUCCCUCACUGCUCCAGGUUGUGUCCCUCGUGAAGCUGCGUGCUCAGUUGAAGAGGACGGCCUUCCCUGAGUAGAGACUGACCAGCCUUCGGUUGAGGGUACGCUGCGCUUCCCUGCUAGAACCUCCAAACAAGCUCUCAAAAUAUAAACAUUUUUGUAUAUAUGUGCGCACAUAGAAAGAGAGGUGAGGUGGGGGAGUGUUAGAUAUGUGA